RNAcentral lists this ribosomal RNA (435 nucleotides) under uncultured bacterium. RNAcentral describes it as "bacterial SSU rRNA". It matches the Rfam family "Bacterial small subunit ribosomal RNA", at positions 28 to 507 of the family's 1533-position model. The record is from RNAcentral.
GAUAAACGCUGGCGGUGUGGUUUAAUACAUGCAAGUUGAGCGAUUCUUUUUUAAGAAUAGCAGCGAACGAGCGAGUAACACGUUGGAACCUGCCCCGAACUCAGGGAUAAGCAUUGGAAACAGUGUCUAAUACCGGAUAGUCCCGCAAGGGUAAAGAUUUUCGGUUCGGGAGGGGCCUGCGGCCUAUCAGCUAGUUGGUGAGGUAACUGCUCACCAAGGCUACGACGGGUAACUGGUCUGAGAGGAUGAUCAGUCGCGAUGGAACUGAGACACGGUCCAUACUCCUACGGGAGGCAGCAGUAGGGAAUCUUCCGCAAUGGGCGAAAGCCUGACGGAGCAACACCGCGUGGUUGAUGAAGCCCUUCGGGUGUAAAGACCUUUUCUGAGGGAAGAAUUCUGACGGUACCUUAGGAAUAAGCACCGGCUAACUCCGUG